GCCGCAAUAGCUCAGCUGGGAGAGCGUAAGACUGAAGAUCUUAAGGUCCGGCGUUCGAUCCGCCGUUGCGGCA
Klebsormidium nitens is the source of this 73-nucleotide non-coding RNA. Lineage: Eukaryota; Viridiplantae; Streptophyta; Klebsormidiophyceae; Klebsormidiales; Klebsormidiaceae. The record is from Rfam.